AUAGAUCCAUGCCAUCGAUAUGGUGUCAACCUAAGUCGUUAUCAUGAGGUGUGGUGCAACAGUGAAAGUUCACAAUCAUUUUUCUACUGGCUAGACAUUGGUGAUGGAAAAGAAGUUAUUGUGGAGAAAUGUUCAAGGAGUGAUCUACACUCCCAAUGCAUCAAGUAUCUUGGACCAAAAGAGAGGGAAGCAUAUGAAGUAACUGUGAAGAAUGGAAAGCUUAUUUACAAGAAAAGUGGUGUUUGUGUGGACACAAUAGAGGGUACUAAAUGGAUAUUUGUUCUCAGUACAUCAAGGACCUUAUAUGUUGGUGAGAAGCAAAAACACCAUUUUCACCAUUCCAGUUUUCUAGCUGGAGGUGCUUGUCUUUCAUCUGGAAGAUUGGUUGUCUCUAAGGGGGACCUCGAGGCAAUAUGGGCAUACAGUGGCCAUUAUAGACCAUCAGAUGAGCAAUUUGAGGAGAUAAUACGCUUUCUUCAGGACCACCAUGUUGAUUUCACCAAUGUUAAGAAAUACGCAACCGAUGAUGACCUAGUACCCGUCAAGCCAAAAAUCUCAAAUGAAUCAAAAGAUGAUGACAUUGACAUCAAAUAAAAGAGCAGAUUGAAAACGACUUUCAUUCUCUCAUUUCUCGUUCUUGAUUCGAACUGUUAGUUGAAUUAUUUAUUGAUCGGUCAAAUGUUAUUUUUUGCAAGUUCACUAAUGUUCUGAUUCAAAUAAAAGAGUAUCCUGUAAGCAAAAUGCAAUGAAAUUAUG
This is a long non-coding RNA of Capsicum annuum, 756 nucleotides long. RefSeq lists it as uncharacterized. The transcript has 5 exons. The record is from RefSeq and is a predicted model, not a curated record. Lineage: Eukaryota; Viridiplantae; Streptophyta; Magnoliopsida; Solanales; Solanaceae.